Caenorhabditis elegans is the source of this 119-nucleotide non-coding RNA. The record is from Ensembl. NCBI's taxonomy places the organism in Eukaryota, Metazoa, Nematoda, Chromadorea, Rhabditida, Rhabditidae.
AUUGGCCAAUUGCUUAUUGCUAAGGUGUUCUUUCGGGAAACGACGGAGGGGCUCACUGGUUCUCGAAUUGACAGUUGGCGUCAUGUGCUGGCAUAUAUUAUCGAGGCGUUGGCAGUAGG